Molecule: ribosomal RNA, 303 nt
Filed under: uncultured bacterium
Lineage: Bacteria
Description: partial 16S ribosomal RNA
Rfam family: Bacterial small subunit ribosomal RNA
Source: RNAcentral
AGCAGUAGCCGCGGGAAUACGGAGGGAGCUAGCGUUGUUCGGAAUUACUGGGCGUAAAGCGCACGUAGGCGGCUUUGUAAGUUAGAGGUGAAAGCCUGGAGCUCAACUCCAGAAUUGCCUUUAAGACUGCAUCGCUUGAAUCCGGGAGAGGUGAGUGGAAUUCCGAGUGUAGAGGUGAAAUUCGUAGAUAUUCGGAAGAACACCAGUGGCGAAGGCGGCUCACUGGACCGGCAUUGACGCUGAGGUGCGAAAGCGUGGGGAGCAAACAGGAUUAGAUACCCCAGUAGUUCCUGUCUCUUAUAA